UACGUAGGGUGCGAGCGUUGUCCGGAAUUAUUGGGCGUAAAGGGCGCGUAGGCGGUCUGUUGCGUCGGGAGUGAAAACUUACAGCUUAACUGUGAGCGUGCUUCCGAUACGGGCAGACUUGAGGUAUUCAGGGGAGAACGGAAUUCCUGGUGUAGCGGUGAAAUGCGCAGAUAUCAGGAGGAACACCGGUGGCGAAGGCGGUUCUCUGGGAAUAUCCUGACGCUGAGGAGCGAAAGUGUGGGGAGCGAACAGG
Molecule: ribosomal RNA, 253 nt
Filed under: uncultured bacterium
Lineage: Bacteria
Description: partial 16S ribosomal RNA
Rfam family: Bacterial small subunit ribosomal RNA
Source: RNAcentral